Molecule: small nuclear RNA, 164 nt
Filed under: Helicoverpa armigera (cotton bollworm)
Lineage: Eukaryota; Metazoa; Arthropoda; Insecta; Lepidoptera; Noctuidae
Description: U1 spliceosomal RNA
Rfam family: U1 spliceosomal RNA
About the family: U1 is a small nuclear RNA (snRNA) component of the spliceosome (involved in pre-mRNA splicing). Its 5' end forms complementary base pairs with the 5' splice junction, thus defining the 5' donor site of an intron.
Source: RNAcentral
AUACUAACCUUGCGUAGGGUGUACCGUGAUCACGAAGGCGGUUGCCCCGGGCGGACUCCGGCCAUUGCACUGCGGCCGGGAGUAGUCCGUCUGUGACUAUCCCAAAUAGGGGUACGUCGUACGUGUAAUUUUUGGUAGUUGGACUUGCGUUCUGCGCGGUCCUC